This 557-nucleotide small RNA is filed under the name Pan troglodytes (chimpanzee). RNAcentral describes it as "processed transcript". The record is from RNAcentral. Lineage: Eukaryota; Metazoa; Chordata; Mammalia; Primates; Hominidae.
AAACAUGGCGGCGGCGGGUGUUGUGAGCGGGAAGGGUGGAUGCUGAUAUACUGCUUGACUUACUGCAUAUUUGAAGAUUAUCCUGUUUGAUUUUCCAUCUAAACUGAUCCAGGCUGGGACUUUUCAAGAGGGGAUCCCUUCCGUUUAAACAUCUCCCUCUUUCAGAUUAUAUAUGAACAAGAAGGAGUAUAUAUUCACUCAUCUUGUGGAAAGACCAAUGACCAAGACGGCUUGAUUUCAGGAAUAUUACGUGUUUUAGAAAAGGAUGCCGAAGUAAUAGUGGACUGGAGACCAUUGGAUGAUGCAUUAGAUUCCUCUAGUAUUCUCUAUGCUAGAAAGGACUCCAGUUCAGUUGUAGAAUGGACUCAGGCCCCAAAAGAAAGAGGUCAUCGAGGAUCAGAACAUCUGAACAGUUACGAAGCAGAAUGGGACAUGGUUAAUACAGUUUCAUUUAAAAGGAAACCACAUACCAAUGGAGUUUGACAGACCUGAAAUCAAUCAAGCAAAACAAAGAGGGUAUGGGCUGGUCCUAUUUGGUAUUCUGUCUAAAGGAUGAC